Small nucleolar RNA from Molossus molossus (Pallas's mastiff bat), 134 nucleotides. Lineage: Eukaryota; Metazoa; Chordata; Mammalia; Chiroptera; Molossidae. The record is from RefSeq and is a predicted model, not a curated record.
UUCCAACAUAUUGAGUUCAGUUCAGGCCAGCUUCCCCGUUCUGUUAAUUAAACUUUGGAACACUAAAACACAGGCUAAGGGAGAUGAUUAGAUAGAAAGCAUUGUUCUAUUUAUUUACCUCCCAGCCAAGAAAG